RNA transcript from Sinocyclocheilus grahami, 926 nucleotides. It is a transcript of the gene named C-type natriuretic peptide-like, with no coding region annotated. The record is from RefSeq and is a predicted model, not a curated record. The transcript has 3 exons. Lineage: Eukaryota; Metazoa; Chordata; Actinopteri; Cypriniformes; Cyprinidae.
UGUUGUCUGCAGAAUUAGUUUUGUGUGUUUUUAUUUCCAUGCUUCUCUCUCCUUUAUCUGUGUUUGAGUGUGUUCAUCUAAAUUUGUUCAUCUGAAUCUAUCCAUACGACUCACAUUAGCGGUGCAUUUGGGGCCAUUAUCAAUUGCACCAUGCUGUGCUCCUGUGUACUUGUGGUGCUUCUAGUCCUUCUAGCCAAUCCGGUGCCAGGCCACACCCGAACCCUUCACACCCCUGACAAAGCCAUGCAGGUCAUCGAGCAGUUCCUUGAGCGCUACAAUGACCUUUUGACCCAUGAUGAUCUUGACAACCUCACGAGUGACCAGUCAGAAGAGCCCAUGCAGACCUUCAGCUCUGGACUAAAGGUGGCAGAAUACCCCAAGUGGAUUGACACACCUGUGCAGAGCGAGAAUGCCUGGCUCCGCCUCUUGAAGGGGGCUUUGGUCAAUCAGAAGCGAGCUCCACCGAACCGGUUGCGGAGGGGUUGGAACCGAGGCUGUUUUGGCCUGAAACUGGAUCGGAUCGGCUCUAUGAGUGGCCUCGGCUGCUAAUAAUGAACUGAGAGACGGACCGAGAUGAUGAGAUGACUGUUGUCCCGCUUAGCUUUAGGUAGAGGUCAUUACCAAAUUCUGGUCAGGUUUUGGACACCGUGAAAAAAGUUAGGUGGACAAAUUCAUUAUAUUGUGCAUUUCAAUAUACUUAUUUUUACAUUGAAUUUGAAGUGACAUGUUGUUUAACUGUAUUUGUAUAUUUAUUUCUUAAUGAAGGUAGCAAGAAUUAAGUGUUUACUUUGUUCCUUGAGAUGUAGAUGAGAUACAAUCAUUUUGAUAAUCUGCUAGUAGUAAGUAAAGAUCUUCUAAUGCAUGAUUUUCAGAACAUAAACAUGUACUGCUCACCUUCUGUACUUUUUGCAUGAAUAAAAUUUCUU